RNAcentral lists this ribosomal RNA (274 nucleotides) under uncultured Rhodocyclaceae bacterium. Its description in RNAcentral is "partial 16S ribosomal RNA". It matches the Rfam family "Bacterial small subunit ribosomal RNA", at positions 1107 to 1382 of the family's 1533-position model. The record is from RNAcentral. Lineage: Bacteria; Pseudomonadati; Pseudomonadota; Betaproteobacteria; Rhodocyclales; Rhodocyclaceae.
GUCAUUAGUUGCCAUCGAUUUGGCUGGGCACUCUAAUGAGACUGCCGGUGACAAACCGGAGGAAGUGGGGAUGACGUCAAGUCCUCAUGGCCCUUAUGGGUAGGGCUUCACACGUCAUACAAUGGUCGGUACAGAGGGUUGCCAACCCGCGAGGGGGAGCUAAUCCCACAAAGCCGAUCGUAGUCCGGAUCGCAGUCUGCAACUCGACUGCGUGAAGUCGGAAUCGCUAGUAAUCGUGGAUCAGCAUGUCACGGUGAAUACGUUCCCGGGUCUU